UUAUUAUGUGAUGAUUUAUAUACCGCCCCAGUCUGAAAGUCUGAUGAUGAUUGAUUCUGAAUUC
RNAcentral lists this small nucleolar RNA (64 nucleotides) under Penaeus chinensis. Lineage: Eukaryota; Metazoa; Arthropoda; Malacostraca; Decapoda; Penaeidae. The record is from RNAcentral.